This 252-nucleotide ribosomal RNA is filed under the name uncultured bacterium. RNAcentral describes it as "partial 16S ribosomal RNA". It matches the Rfam family "Bacterial small subunit ribosomal RNA", at positions 524 to 776 of the family's 1533-position model. The record is from RNAcentral.
UACGUAGGGUGCAAGCGUUGUCCGGAAUUAUUGGGCGUAAAGAGCUCGUAGGCGGUCUGUCGCGUCGGAUGUGAAAACCCAGGGCUCAACCCUGGGCCUGCAUUCGAUACGGGCAGACUAGAGUUCGGUAGGGGGACUGGAAUUCCUGGUGUAGCGGUGAAAUGCGCAGAUAUCAGGAGGAACACCGGUGGCGAAGGCGGGUCUCUGGGCCGAAACUGACGCUGAGGAGCGAAAGCGUGGGGAGCAAACAGG